Molecule: ribosomal RNA, 253 nt
Filed under: uncultured bacterium
Lineage: Bacteria
Description: partial 16S ribosomal RNA
Rfam family: Bacterial small subunit ribosomal RNA
Source: RNAcentral
UACGUAGGGUGCAAGCGUUGUCCGGAAUUAUUGGGCGUAAAGAGCUCGUAGGCGGUCUGUCGCGUCUGGUGUGAAAACUCAAGGCUUAACCUUGGGCCUGCAUCGGGGACGGGCAGACUAGAGUGCGGUAGGGGAGACUGGAAUUCCUGGUGUAGCGGUGAAAUGCGUAGAGAUCGGAAGGAACGUUGAUGGCGAAGGCAGCCACCUGGCAUGAUACUGACGCUGAGGCGCGAAAGCGUGGGGAGCGAACAGG